Long non-coding RNA from Zootermopsis nevadensis, 1335 nucleotides. RefSeq lists it as uncharacterized. NCBI's taxonomy places the organism in Eukaryota, Metazoa, Arthropoda, Insecta, Blattodea, Termopsidae. The record is from RefSeq and is a predicted model, not a curated record.
UUGAAGUAGAAGGUGAUUUAGGGACGGACGGACAGACAGACAACAGGAAAACAGAAGCGUCAUCAUUCCAACAAUGACAUUAACAUCACUACCAACUGAACAUUCAUAUUUACCUUCACAUUUUGUUUUUUAAACGAUACAACAUAUUUUACCACAUUAAAAUUGUACUGAUUUAAUUUGUUUAAACAUAAAGAUACACCGGUGUAUGUAUUAAGGUAAUUGUAACGUUUGGUAUGAAUUUCGGUCACGAACACACUGAUCGACAUGACAGAAAUUUGUAUUAGGAGCUAAGGAAAUGAAACAAAUGAACACGAAACAGAACUCGUCGACCUUUUUUUAUUUCCCCGUUUUAAUUCAUAAAUACGCAUAGAUCCACGUCGGUUUCACAUUUAACCAAAUUGCGACAUAGGGCUCAUUUGUAACUUCAGAAAAUAACACAGCCAGCUGAAAUUCGACUUUUAACACGCGCUCUGUUGGCACACGCGACAACUACACUUCGCACAACAGCCAGCAACAAUAAUUCUGCAGUGGGAUUUUACAGUCUGUUUUAUUUGAAAGCUGUGAGUGUAAAUGAAGGGGUAAAAAUAAAGGAAAGGAAUCAGAAAGGAAAGAAGGAAGAAGAAGAAGAAAAAUGACAUGGUUUUAUCUUCAUGGCGUGUACUCAGAGCUUCAGCUGACUGCCGUUCCUAUCGUUACAUUUUGUUCCUAUAUCUCAAGUCGUUUGUUUGCUAGCUUGAGGUAGCGAGCACAGGGCGUCCAAAAAAUUCUCACCUCGGUUAUUCGGAAGAGGGAUAACUAAGUAUCAAAAUGGGCAACUCACUGGCCAAGAUGCACACUUACAUCGCGGAGGAACUCCGCCCCAAAACUAGUGUCAUCACUGCUCGUGGUCUCAGAAAACAUUACGGGGUACACGAGAGGAGGAACGGCUAGAUUUCAGAAGUUGGAGGAUCUACUUCGCCCGCCCCCCAGUGCGUGAAGACGUAGCCAUGCUCAUGGAGUUCGAGAGCGUGCCGCUGUGAUGCGCUGCGAUGCUGAUAGUAAGAGAUUGGGUAACGCGGUAAGGCGUGGAGCGGCGUACGUCCGUCGAAUUGCAUUCUCCUGAUCAAUAACGACCCGGUAACAAACGCUCUCAGAACAAGGACAUGACCACGGAUAAAGAACACGCCAACAUUUUCCCGUAACUUAUGCUUAUUUUCACGAAAAUCUAUGAAAAACUGUAUCUUGAAUACGUUAUUGUAACUUUAAAAUUAAAAUGUCUAGUUUUAGUCGUGCGUUUGUCCAUGCGAAUUAAAACUGGCGAAGGAAAAUUAGAUCACAACAGAAAAUACAUGCAAG